Molecule: transfer RNA, 82 nt
Filed under: Ignavibacteria bacterium
Lineage: Bacteria; Pseudomonadati; Ignavibacteriota; Ignavibacteria
Description: tRNA-Leu
Rfam family: tRNA
About the family: Transfer RNA (tRNA) molecules are approximately 80 nucleotides in length. Their secondary structure includes four short double-helical elements and three loops (D, anti-codon, and T loops). Further hydrogen bonds mediate the characteristic L-shaped molecular structure. tRNAs have two regions of fundamental functional importance: the anti-codon, which is responsible for specific mRNA codon recognition, and the 3' end, to which the tRNAs corresponding amino acid is attached (by aminoacyl-tRNA synthetases). tRNAs cope with the degeneracy of the genetic code in two manners: having more than one tRNA (with a specific anti-codon) for a particular amino acid; and 'wobble' base-pairing, i.e. permitting non-standard base-pairing at the 3rd anti-codon position.
Source: RNAcentral
GCGAGAGUGGUGAAAUUGGUAUACACGCUAGACUUAGGAUCUAGUGCCGCAAGGCGUGGGGGUUCGAGUCCCCCCUCUCGCA